Molecule: ribosomal RNA, 253 nt
Filed under: uncultured bacterium
Lineage: Bacteria
Description: partial 16S ribosomal RNA
Rfam family: Bacterial small subunit ribosomal RNA
Source: RNAcentral
UACAGAGGUCUCAAGCGUUGUUCGGAUUCAUUGGGCGUAAAGGGUGCGUAGGCGGUCUAUUAAGUCAGUUGUGAAAUACGGCAGCUCAACUGUCGAGGUGCAAUUGAUACUGAUGGACUUGAGUACUGAUGAGGUAAGCGGAAUGGACGGUGUAGCGGUGAAAUGCUUAGAUAUCGUCCAGAACACCGAUAGCGAAGGCAGCUUACUAAGGAGUAACUGACGCUGAGGCACGAAAGUGUGGGGAUCAAACAGG